GACGAACGCUGGCGGCGUGCCUAAUACAUGCAAGUCGAGCGGAUUCAUCCUUCGGGAUGGGUUAGCGGCGGACGGGUGAGUAACACGUAGGCAACCUGCCUGGAAGCCUGGGAUAACUAACGGAAACGUUAGCUAAUACCGGAUACACGGUUGGAUCGCUUGAUCCGAUUGGGAAAGAGGGUGUAAGCUCUCGCUUGCAG
Molecule: ribosomal RNA, 200 nt
Filed under: uncultured bacterium
Lineage: Bacteria
Description: partial 16S ribosomal RNA
Rfam family: Bacterial small subunit ribosomal RNA
Source: RNAcentral